RNAcentral lists this transfer RNA (76 nucleotides) under Pseudomonas putida. RNAcentral's name for it is "tRNA-Met". It matches the Rfam family "tRNA". From Rfam's summary of the family: Transfer RNA (tRNA) molecules are approximately 80 nucleotides in length. Lineage: Bacteria; Pseudomonadati; Pseudomonadota; Gammaproteobacteria; Pseudomonadales; Pseudomonadaceae. The record is from RNAcentral.
GGAGAUAUAGCUCAGCAGGUAGAGCAGUCCCUUCAUACGGGAUAGGUCAGAGGUUCGAUUCCUCUUAUCUCCACCA